Molecule: long non-coding RNA, 3370 nt
Organism: Oreochromis aureus
Lineage: Eukaryota; Metazoa; Chordata; Actinopteri; Cichliformes; Cichlidae
Source: Ensembl
CCGGCUCAGAAAAAGUGAAACUCUCCCUUCGCUGCAUUUGUUUUGCAUUUGUUGUACAGUUGCUAGUCACUGUGGGGGAAAAAAAAAACUGGCAGCUUUGACUCUUUCACGCCAAAUUGUGUUAAGGACAUGCUGCUGUGCUAUAGUGACGGUGUGUUUUCAGAAACAGUCGGCUGGACAGCUCGCCAAGCUGAGCAAACAGAAGGCAGUGACCAUGAUUUACCCGGCUCUGUAGCCUCUGUAUUUAGUCUUUCCAGCCACCACUGCUAGCAAGUGCCUCAAAGAUAAGUUGAAGAAGCAAGUAAAAGCAUCGCAAAGACCUCAUAUGUGACGUGCUGAACAUUUUCAGAUGGGAGGCAGAAGGGAAGCAAGGCAUCAGUGACACCCUCUCAGUUUUUGACCUGAGAAGUCUCUUUGACUACGUCGAUUUAUUCCCCGUUUUCAAAGCACAAUGAAGCUGAGUCUUCUUCUACAGGCUUUUUGCCUUCUUACCACAGUAUUUCUGUGUGGAGGAGAGGGUGAGAUUACUGCAACACCAGCAACCACCAUCACAGAAAUAUCAACUGCUCCAUCGACUGCUUCAACUGAUGGAUCCAACACGGCCACAGUCACCGCAUCUGACACCACCAGUACCACCAUCAUCGGAACUGAUUCUACUGAAUCAGUUCCUACCACUGAGAUUGUUAAGGAAUCCAACUCAGGGCUUUCACCGGGUGCUAUAGCAGGCAUCACCAUCGGCUCCAUUGCCGGUGUGGGAGCAGUCGGUGGUGGUAUCUUUGGUAUAUUGAAGUACACAGGGAAGAUCUAAGACCAGCUGUUGCACAAUAAGGAUCGAAGUGGAUGUAGAUCGUCAGAUGAAACAUGUCCUAUCCUGAGAUCAGACUUAAUCCUGACCAUGCUGAGUGGAUAGAGGAAGGCUUAAAUGUCUGAAUGGCUCAAGAAGGAAUAAACUGAUAUAUGUAUAGUAUAUGUAUAUUCAAGAUUGUGAUCUCAUGGGCCAAGAGGAAGACAUAAUAAUGUCUGUUUCACCACUUUGCUAUUUUGAUUGCUUGACUGAAGGCCAGAAAAUAAUCCUUAGCUGAUCAAAACAUUUACAUAAUAGUAUGAAAUGUAUUUAUAUUUUAUUUGAUAUUUGUAUCUUAUUGACAGAUACUACUCAUCUAGUGGGUUCAGUGUAUUUAAUUUUAUGAGUUAAUCUUCCUAUUGUCCUUCACAUUUGAUGUUUUGUUUCAGUAUAAAGGGUAGACUGUUUAACUAUAAAAAAAAGGCUUUUUUGGAUACAAAACAAUGAUACUUAAGCUUUUCUAUUCUUUUAUAAAGGUAAAGAAUCUUUGUAAGUGAAUACCGAUAUUUCCUUUAAGCUAAAUAAUUUAAUUUUAUUGAUAACAUUUUCUUAAGAUUAAUUUGGCAUUUUGCUCAAAUACUGUAAUUUCCUAGUGAAAAGCUUUGCAAUCACUAUGUUUUAAAUAAAUACAUAAAUAUAAAAGUAUCAUCUGCUUUCUAUAGCAUGCAAUUCUGUCUAAUAAAAGAGUUGCUUGAGCCAUCUAGACUAUUGACUUAUACACAUACUUCCUUUAGUAGCUGAGUUAUUUGUUUAGUUUAUGAGUUUAUGACUUUUCCACCCAUCUUAGGCUUGGUGCUUCAGUUUAUGGUACAAUGAUGGUUAGGAUUGAGAACAACAGUCUAUCAUUGAAAACAGAUUGAGAAAAUAAUGUUUUGUUUGGGACUAGUUUUUUGCAAGCUUUCAAACACCUAGUGUUUCCUCAAUAAUCUGGGUCUUGCAUUGUUUGAUUUUAUGCAGUUUUGUCUCUCUGACACUUGCCCAGCUCAUGCUAGCUUGAAGAAAAAGAAUUUAAUCUUUGACAAAUAAAUAACAAAUACAGUCAAACACAAAAAACAAUGAAAUCGACAUGAAAUAUAUAACGUUCUAGUGUUAGCUAGCUAGCUAGUGUUAGCUAGCGACCAGCAAAUGUAGAACUUUUUUGUGAAACUCUACAAGAAAAAACUAAAAGUAAUCAAACUGUACUUGAAGUAAAUUCAAAAUGCCAACUAUGACAAUUAUGUGCCCAAAGCUGUGGUGUAAAACGGUUGAUGCCAUACUCAUGGUUAUGGUAGGGUGACCAACUGUCCUCUUUUUCCUGGACAUGUCCACUUUUCACAUUCUGUCCGAGCCGUCCGGGGGCAUUUUCGAGAUUGAUGAAAAUGUCCGGGUUUUUCUAUAGGCCUACAGAGGACCCAUAUGUGUGACGUCAUCCUGAGCUGCUGCUUCGUGAGUGGUUGUUCUGCGUUCACAGACGGGACAGACAGCGUGCAGCAGCAUGCCUGAUGAUGUUUAAAAGAUGCCAAAGCGCAAGUGCAGCUUCCCUCGUACCGUCCCGGUAGUGGUAAUUUUUUUUUAUACAGAUGAGGCCUUAUUUCUGUACCAUUAUUUAAUUCCAGGGGUUUUUAAGUUAUUUUUUUGCACUUGUUGACUUGAAAAAGCCUAUAUGACAUUUUUUAUUUCACCAUUCAGCUGAAGUUCUUCAUGGCUGGGCCAAGUGUCCUCCUUUUUGGAAAUCAAAAUAUGGUCACCCUAGGUUAUGGUAAGGAAAAUAGUCAGAGGGUACUGCUAGCUAUUAAUACCAGUACUUUCUCAGAUUAACAUUAGCAAAAAGGCUGGAAAAAGGGGUGAAAUACAGCCUAGAAAAUUAUGGAAUUAAAUUAGUGCUGUCAGCAUUAAUCUCGUUAAAAUGACGUUAAUGGAAUAACCACAUUAACGCAGCAAAUCUCAGUUAGGGUGCAGCCCCAUGCUUGGGGCUGCACAGCGUCAAAGCGUUAACGCGGUUAGCUCGUUAACCUGUUAGCACCGUGCAAUAAUCAGGCCCAACCAAUAUAACCCCCACAAUAAAAUUAUAAUUUAUCUUGCAUAAAUAGGCUGUUGAUUUUCUUUACUCAUUUCAGGUAUUACCAGCAAAACAGUUGCAUGUUUAAUCAUCUGGGAAUUUACCCAGAUUUAUUUAUUUAUUUAGACAGAGAUCUUGACCCCCCCAAUGUUCAGCACAAAGUUACGCUGAUGUCGCUAACGGAGAUUUACCGCGUUAAUGCGGUUAUGCCGUUAAUGUCAUUUUAACGAGAUUAACGCUGACAGCACUAAAUUAAAUGAAAUAUUUUGUUUAUUUAAUCUACACAAACACUAAAGUAAAAAAAAAAAAAAAAGACUUUUUGAAUAAAACAGGUUUUUAACAGGUUUGAAUAUUUUGCUAGUUCCCUACAGUCAACUGAGAGCCACAAAAACUAACUCAGCAGAUUUUAUUUUAUUUAUUUAACAUUUAUUUAACCAGGAUACUGUCCUGGAUAAGAUAGAUAGCAGUACAAACUAUAAUGGUCAGAC